AAGACUAUACUUUCAGGGAUCAUUUCUGUAGUUUCUUAGUAGAGAAGUUUCUCUGACUGUGUAGAAUACUAGAAAUUACGAGGAGGAGGCACAGCAUUGUCUCCUGAGUGUGAAGCUGUCACUGGGUGUCGCUUGUGUGACUGCAGUGGCCAUUGAUGGUAGUUCUUCUCUCCCCUGGAUGUAUGUAGUCUGAGUGGC
This 198-nucleotide small nucleolar RNA is filed under the name Jaculus jaculus (lesser Egyptian jerboa). Its description in RNAcentral is "Small nucleolar RNA U3 (ENSJJAG00000006355.1)". It matches the Rfam family "Small nucleolar RNA U3". From Rfam's summary of the family: Small nucleolar RNAs (snoRNAs) are involved in the processing and modification of rRNA in the nucleolus. There are two main classes of snoRNAs: the box C/D class, and the box H/ACA class. The record is from Rfam by way of RNAcentral. Lineage: Eukaryota; Metazoa; Chordata; Mammalia; Rodentia; Dipodidae.